AUUGAACGCUGGCGGCAGGCCUAACACAUGCAAGUCGAGCGAGCGGCGGACGUGUGAGUAAUGCCUGGGAAUUGCCCAGUCGAGGGGGAUAACAGUUGGAAACGACUGCUAAUACCGCAUACUAGGGGGUUCCCCAGGGGGGAUGAGCUAGUUGGUGGGUAAAUGGCUCACCAAGGCGACGAUCCCUAGCUGGUCUGAGAGGAUGAUCAGCCACACUGGAACUGAGACACGGUCCAGACUCCUACGGGAGGCAGCAGUGGGGAAUAUUGCACAAUGGGGGAAACCCUGAUGCAGCCAUGCCGCGUGUGUGAAGAAGGCCUUCGGGUUGUAAAGCACUUUCAGCGAGGAGGCGUUACUCGCAGAAGAAGCACCGGCUAACUCCGUGCCAGCAGCCGCGGUAAUAC
This 404-nucleotide ribosomal RNA is filed under the name uncultured bacterium. RNAcentral's name for it is "partial 16S ribosomal RNA". It matches the Rfam family "Bacterial small subunit ribosomal RNA", at positions 30 to 526 of the family's 1533-position model. The record is from RNAcentral.